AUGAGUGUUUUCAAGCUCCCUGCUUCGGUCUGUGACGAGUUGACUCAUAUGAUACGUCAAUACUGGUGGGGAGUGGAGAACGGGAAGAAAAAGAUGGCUUGGAUGAGCUGGGACAAACUGAGUCUCCCUAAAUCCAUGGGUGGCAUGGGGUUUAGGGACAUGAGGGCUUUUAACCAAGCCUUGUUAGCAAAACAAGCAUGGUGA
RNAcentral lists this ribosomal RNA (204 nucleotides) under Triticum aestivum (bread wheat). RNAcentral describes it as "partial small subunit ribosomal RNA". The record is from RNAcentral. Lineage: Eukaryota; Viridiplantae; Streptophyta; Magnoliopsida; Poales; Poaceae.